CCCUAAAUACUCCCUAGUGACCGAUAGUGAACCAGUACCGUGAGGGAAAGGUGAAAAGCACCCCGGGAGGGGAGUGAAAUAGAACCUGAAACCGUGUGCCUACAACAAGUUCGAGCCCGUUAAUGGGUGAGAGCGUGCCUUUUGUAGAAUGAACCGGCGAGUUACGUUAUGAUGCGAGGUUAAGUUGAAGAGACGGAGCCGUAGGGAAACCGAGUCUGAAUAGGGCGCCUUAGUAUCAUGACGUAGACCCGAAACCAUGUGACCUACCCAUGAGCAGGUUGAAGGUGCGGUAAGACGCACUGGAGGACCGAACCAGGGCACGUUGAAAAGUGCUUGG
This 337-nucleotide ribosomal RNA is filed under the name Streptococcus pneumoniae. RNAcentral describes it as "partial 23S ribosomal RNA". It matches the Rfam family "Bacterial large subunit ribosomal RNA", at positions 464 to 803 of the family's 2925-position model. The record is from RNAcentral. Lineage: Bacteria; Bacillati; Bacillota; Bacilli; Lactobacillales; Streptococcaceae.